Molecule: transfer RNA, 71 nt
Filed under: Acidobacteriota bacterium
Lineage: Bacteria; Pseudomonadati; Acidobacteriota
Also listed under: 1 other name
Description: Acidobacteria bacterium tRNA-Trp
Rfam family: tRNA
About the family: Transfer RNA (tRNA) molecules are approximately 80 nucleotides in length. Their secondary structure includes four short double-helical elements and three loops (D, anti-codon, and T loops). Further hydrogen bonds mediate the characteristic L-shaped molecular structure. tRNAs have two regions of fundamental functional importance: the anti-codon, which is responsible for specific mRNA codon recognition, and the 3' end, to which the tRNAs corresponding amino acid is attached (by aminoacyl-tRNA synthetases). tRNAs cope with the degeneracy of the genetic code in two manners: having more than one tRNA (with a specific anti-codon) for a particular amino acid; and 'wobble' base-pairing, i.e. permitting non-standard base-pairing at the 3rd anti-codon position.
Source: RNAcentral
GACAGCGUGGUGUAACGGGAGCAUCCGACCUCCAAAGCUCGUGGGUCCGGGUUCGAGUCCUGGCGCUGUCG